RNAcentral lists this ribosomal RNA (569 nucleotides) under uncultured Gammaproteobacteria bacterium. RNAcentral describes it as "bacterial SSU rRNA". It matches the Rfam family "Bacterial small subunit ribosomal RNA", at positions 812 to 1381 of the family's 1533-position model. Lineage: Bacteria; Pseudomonadati; Pseudomonadota; Gammaproteobacteria. The record is from RNAcentral.
UCGAUUUGGAGUUUGUUGCCUAGAGUGAUGGGCUCCGAAGCUAACGCGAUAAAUCGACCGCCUGGGGAGUACGGCCGCAAGGUUAAAACUCAAAUGAAUUGACGGGGGCCCGCACAAGCGGUGGAGCAUGUGGUUUAAUUCGAUGCAACGCGAAGAACCUUACCUGGUCUUGACGUCCACAGAAUCUUGCAGAGAUGCGAGAGUGCCUUCGGGAACUGUGAGACAGGUGCUGCAUGGCUGUCGUCAGCUCGUGUUGUGAAAUGUUGGGUUAAGUCCCGCAACGAGCGCAACCCUUAUCCUUUGUUGCCAUUGGUUCGGCCGGGAACUCAAAGGAGACUGCCGUUGAUAAAGCGGAGGAAGGUGGGGACGACGUCAAGUCAUCAUGGCCCUUACGACCAGGGCUACACACGUGCUACAAUGGCGUAUACAAAGGGAGGCGACCUCGCGAGAGCAAGCGGACCUCAUAAAGUACGUCUAAGUCCGGAUUGGAGUCUGCAACUCGACUCCAUGAAGUCGGAAUCGCUAGUAAUCGUGAAUCAGAAUGUCACGGUGAAUACGUUCCCGGGCCU